UAGGGAAUCUUCCGCAAUGGACGAAAGUCUGACGGAGCAACGCCGCGUGAGUGAUGAAGGUUUUCGGAUCGUAAAGCUCUGUUGUUAGGGAAGAACAAGUACCGUUCGAAUAGGGCGGCACCUUGACGGUACCUAACCAGAAAGCCACGGCUAACUACGUGCCAGCAGCCGCGGUAAUACGUAGGUGGCAAGCGUUGUCCGGAUUUACUGGGUGUAAAGGGUGCUCAGGCGGGUUUGUAAGUCAGAGGUGAAACUCCGAAGCUUAACUUCGGAACUGCCUUUGAUACUGCAUCCCUAGAGUUUGAGAGAGGCGAGUGGAAUAUCUGGUGUAGCAGUGAAAUGCGUAGAUAUCAGAUAGAACACCAAUGGCGAAGGCAGCUCGCUGGCUCAAUACUGACGCUAAAGCACGAAAGCGUGGGUAGCAAACA
This 428-nucleotide ribosomal RNA is filed under the name uncultured prokaryote. RNAcentral describes it as "bacterial SSU rRNA". It matches the Rfam family "Bacterial small subunit ribosomal RNA", at positions 355 to 774 of the family's 1533-position model. The record is from RNAcentral.